This 199-nucleotide ribosomal RNA is filed under the name uncultured bacterium. RNAcentral's name for it is "partial 16S ribosomal RNA". It matches the Rfam family "Bacterial small subunit ribosomal RNA", at positions 335 to 526 of the family's 1533-position model. The record is from RNAcentral.
ACUCCUACGGGAGGCAGCAGUGGGGAAUUUUCCGCAAUGGGCGAAAGCCUGACGGAGCAAUACCGCGUGAGGGAAGACGGCCUUAGGGUUGUAAACCUCUUUCAGUUGGGACGAAGGUUCGACGGUGAAUAGCCGGCCGGACUGACGGUACCUUCAGAAGAAGCUCCGGCUAACUACGUGCCAGCAGCCGCGGUAAUAC